Molecule: transfer RNA, 87 nt
Filed under: Thermothelomyces thermophilus ATCC 42464
Lineage: Eukaryota; Fungi; Ascomycota; Sordariomycetes; Sordariales; Chaetomiaceae
Description: Myceliophthora thermophila ATCC 42464 tRNA
Rfam family: tRNA
About the family: Transfer RNA (tRNA) molecules are approximately 80 nucleotides in length. Their secondary structure includes four short double-helical elements and three loops (D, anti-codon, and T loops).
Source: Rfam by way of RNAcentral
GGUUGUGUAGUGUAGUGGUUAUCACUCUGGAUUUUGACAAAGGUGUCAAAAUUUCCAGAAACCCCGGUUCGAACCCGGGCACGACCU